GUUUUUUUUUUGUUUUUUUGAAAGCAGAGUGGAAGGCCUAGUUAGCGGCAAGGUAGAGAGCCCGAAAUCAAGCUCUUCGCACCUUAUUGGAUAGGCAACGCAUUUCUGGGCAUUAAUCUGAAGGAUCACCAUAUGUUUCCAACAAGACAGAGCCGCAAACUCCGUCUAGUCUCUAUGGUAGUGCGUAUGAUGACAAGGUCCGUUACCGGAGUGCUUUGGCUUUGGUAGCAGCAGCUGUGACAGGUAGGGGCCGAAGCAUAUGUAUCUUUAAUGUUAAAACUAGAAUCGUGCUUGUGACAAUUUCGUUUCGGUGAUUUGUUGUACUCCAAAUUAAGUUCCAUGUGGCAGUUGACGUUGAUGCGUCUAGCUCCCCAGGUGUGUUGUUUUGGAACUUGGAUGCAGGGCAGUGGUACUGUCGUAGUUUGACGCUGAUGUGCGUGUCCCCUAGUGUCGAGUAAAUUGCAAAAAAUCGUUAUAAUUGGGGACUCUAAUUCAAAAAACCAUCUCAUUUUUUCUUUCAAAAAACAACCAACAUUGUGCUAACUGUUUUCAAAAAGCGCUGAUCUCUCAGGUAAACACUUGCUGAGUGUAAAACAGACAAGUAGGUCCCACUACAAGCGAGUAUGUGGCUACCAAAACUAACGGUGGUUGACUGGAAUUUAGUUGACCGUCAAAAUAGACAUGGGCCUACAUGUCAGUGUGAUCUUACUUCUCUAUCUUUAUCUAAUCUAAUUAUAAAGCACGUACUGGUUCUGCUCGAUCACCAUCGCGGCAUUUUUGCAAAAAAAAACUCUGUAGUUUAAAGUGGAUCUAACAAAACCUUUCAUUUUCACAGAUUAACCCCUGCAUUUGUAAGUAUUUGAUCAGCGAUCCUUUUUAGGAUAAGGUUUCGUUUUUUGCAAGGGCAGCCAUGGCAGGGAGGAGCAGGGGCGGAGCUGCAUGUAUGCUUCCUGAUGCACGGGCAUCAGGGUCGAAAUAAUUUUCGAGUAGUGAUUAGCUCUCGUAAUAUGUGUGCAUCAGGUUACACUGACUGUUGUGCAUCAGGGAGCUGAAAAUUUGCUCCAGCCGGCCUUUUCGGCCGGAGCCCGUAGUCCUUUGGGUAGGGAAUUCAUGGGCUUUUUCCCAGCAGGCCCUAGAAGCUAAGGGCUCCUUUGAUUCAAAGGAAUUCUAUAAGAUUUCUGGAGGAUUGAAAUCCUUAAGAAUUUUUUCUAUGUUGAUCUUUUGAUUUAUAGGAUUGGAUCCCAUAGGAAUUUUUCCUAUGAAAUCUUUUGUACUACAUUUCAUAGGAAAUCUAACAUCCACUCCAACCUCUUUUUACAAUUCUUUUGCUUUUCCUGUGCCAUCAAACACUCCAUGCUAAUCCUGUAGGAUUCAUGUGUGCAUGCCACUCCAACCCUAUACUUUUCCUAUUCCUACGUUUUGAAAAUCCUGCGAAUCAAAGAGGGCCUAAUCGUUGUAGGAAGCCAAUGCGAGCCAGAAAUAAAUUUACCGAUCACGCACACAACAAAUCACCGAAAACGAAACGAAAUUGGAGUAUUAAGUUAGAAUGAUGUAUCGUUAUAAACUGUUGAUGUACUUUUCAUUUUUUAGAGGCGUGCUGUAUUUUACAGCAAGAAAAUAAUACUAUCUCUGUAACUUGAUGUAAGGCGUUUUGCAGCACAAUUGAACUGCAAAACGUCUUACAUUAAGUUACAACUGCUGUAAAAAUGUCUUAAAUUAACGCAAAAGAUUUCAUGCCACAGUUAGCUGAUCGGUUCAAUGAAUUCAGCACAUCAAAUUUGAACUAAAACCAUGACACUAGUUUUGGAACAAAGGGAGUAUUAGCUUGCGAGAAACUCCUGCAGCACCAAACAUGUCAUGAUCUUAAACUAUUUGUCCGAAUGUGCGAAGAGAUAUCAUAUUAGGAAAAAUUACAUCCAUACGAGAACAAUAUCCAAGUUUAGAGCAAUGAUGGCUAAAAUUCUGAUGCCAAUACAAGUGCAAACGAGAUGUAGAGGAAAUUUCAAUCAAUCUUUUGCAACUUCACAACACCUUACCAUAAGGCCAGCUCGCUCUACUCAGAGUACAAUCCACCAAAGAACUGAGUUCAAAGUCAAAGGAAAAAAAACAAAUUGAUGCGACCACAAACCAGCACCACACCAUUUCUUGUCGUACGCAACCCCACUAGCACAUCAGAUUAAGACUAACCCCUCUAGCACAUCAGAUUAAGACUUAAGCAAGAAACCAAGAGAAAUCAG
Molecule: long non-coding RNA, 2237 nt
Filed under: Triticum aestivum (bread wheat)
Lineage: Eukaryota; Viridiplantae; Streptophyta; Magnoliopsida; Poales; Poaceae
Description: long non-coding RNA (TAES_LNC025655)
Source: RNAcentral